CCGUGGGGUGACAUCGGAGUUCAUUA
Molecule: ribosomal RNA, 26 nt
Filed under: Fusarium equiseti
Lineage: Eukaryota; Fungi; Ascomycota; Sordariomycetes; Hypocreales; Nectriaceae
Description: partial 18S ribosomal RNA
Source: RNAcentral